Long non-coding RNA from Helianthus annuus (common sunflower), 172 nucleotides. RefSeq lists it as uncharacterized. Lineage: Eukaryota; Viridiplantae; Streptophyta; Magnoliopsida; Asterales; Asteraceae. The record is from RefSeq and is a predicted model, not a curated record. The transcript has 2 exons.
GAAGCCACCCGAUAUUCAGCAACAUGCGGGAAAAAAGAAAUACCUUUAAAGGUGCAAACCCAGAACUAGUUUCUCUAGCAUUCUCCGCUGGAUUAGCAAAGUUCAUCUACCCUUCUCCUAAUUUACUUGAAAUAAGUAAUUUAUCUGAAGGAAUGAAGAAAGCCAUCAAGAA